This is a long non-coding RNA of Equus asinus (donkey), 1096 nucleotides long. NCBI's taxonomy places the organism in Eukaryota, Metazoa, Chordata, Mammalia, Perissodactyla, Equidae. The record is from Ensembl.
CUCCGUCACCGCGGCAGUCCCACGGUGGGGUGGACAAGGAUCCACGGCCUGAAUCCUGCCUCAAAGACCUCGUGGUCUAGUGUCAUAGGCUGCCCCCAGCAAGGGUGGAAUCUGAUGACCGCCGCGGGGUCCUCAAGUGGAGAUGGACUUCCAGCUGGGGUUGGGGACUCACUGAAGGGCACUGAGUGGAGGGCUCAUGGGCUGCAGAGAGCUCUGAGAGGAGAAAUUGUAGGGAAAGGACCAAGAGCUGGUUGGACACCCUGUGGACCGGAAAGAAUGCUGACUCAGGAGCCAGCUGUGUUUUGCAGAGCAGGCGCUGAGGCACGGAGAGAAGAAGUGGCCGUCCAGGGUCCCGCAGCCAGCGAGGGGUGGAGCGGGAUUUGAAUCUGCUCAGUCUGUGCUCUUAGCUGCCACACUAAUUCCUCCCAGCCUUGUUGUGGGGUUCAAAGAAAAUACUGUUCACAAAAGCACGUUGUAACCAAGGACCCACAAGAGUGCUAUGCAGGCUGUCAAUGCUGACUAAGAAGUCAGGCUUUUGAGGAUUUGUGACUCUUUCCUGGAGGCCUUGAGACGAAGGAGCCAGGAACGGCACCUUCAUCUGAUCCUGGAGCGUUGGGGAGAAGGAUCUGGCACCAUUUGGAGUGCUGAACCUCCUAGAGGUAAUGUCUCUGGAUCAGGUGUGAAGCGCUUGGCCCCUGGUUAGGGGCAGGACCUGCACUCCUGAAUGCCAGACGUGUUAUGGACGGAGAGAAACACCCACAAGAGAGCAAAGCUCUGGAAAAGAAGCAUGGCUUCGGGGGGACGGUGAGACUACGUCACUCCGCAAAGAUGGGAUGAAGGCAAACGGAAGGAGACAAAGCAGCGAUGUUUGUUGUGGGACAAGAGAGAUUUCCAACGGGACUGGCACAAGGGAGCUGAGGCUUCUUAUUAAGCAGCUACUGUGUACCAGGAACUGUGCAAAGCAAUUUCACAUGAAUUACCUCAAGUAAUACAAUAACUUUGGGCAGAACAUUCUAUUGUUUUCUUGUGUCCGUGCUCACGCAGCUAGCAAGGGUCAUAGCCAGAUCUACACUUGAUUCCAGAUCUUUCCGUUAUA